This 253-nucleotide ribosomal RNA is filed under the name uncultured bacterium. RNAcentral's name for it is "partial 16S ribosomal RNA". It matches the Rfam family "Bacterial small subunit ribosomal RNA", at positions 524 to 776 of the family's 1533-position model. The record is from RNAcentral.
UACGUAGGGUUCGAGCGUUGUCCGGAAUUAUUGGGCGUAAAUAGCUCGUAGGCGGUUUGUCGCGCCUGCUGUGAAAUCCCGAGGCUCAACCUCGGGUCUGCAGUGGGUACGGGCAGACUGGAGUGCGGUAGGGGAGAAUGGAAUUCCUGGUGUAGCGGUGGAAUGCGCAGAUAUCAGGAGGAACACCGAUGGCGAAGGCAGUUCUCUGGGCCGUAACUGACGCUGAGGAGCGAAAGCGUGGGGAGCGAGCAGG